RNAcentral lists this signal recognition particle RNA (98 nucleotides) under Nitrospina sp. RNAcentral's name for it is "signal recognition particle sRNA small type". It matches the Rfam family "Bacterial small signal recognition particle RNA". From Rfam's summary of the family: The signal recognition particle (SRP) is a universally conserved ribonucleoprotein involved in the co-translational targeting of proteins to membranes. Archaeal SRP consists of a 7S RNA and homologues of the eukaryotic SRP19 and SRP54 proteins. In most bacteria, the SRP consists of a 4.5S RNA and the Ffh protein (a homologue of the eukaryotic SRP54 protein). The record is from RNAcentral. Lineage: Bacteria; Pseudomonadati; Nitrospinota; Nitrospinia; Nitrospinales; Nitrospinaceae.
UGUUGGGCCUCACGCAACGUGGCCUUGUGAACCCCGCCAGGUCCGGAAGGAAGCAACGGUAGCGAGUCGUCGCGGGUGCUGUGAGAUCCCCAACAAUU